UUACUCUUCGGAGUGAGAGCGUACACAGGUGCUGCAUGGCUGUCGUCAGCUCGUGUCGUGAGAUGUUGGGUAAGUCCCGCAACGAGCGCAACCCUGCAUUCAGUUGCCAUCGGUAAGGCCGGGCACUCUGGAUGGACUGCCGGCGACAAGCCGGAGGAAGUGGGGACGACGUCAAGUCAUCAUGGCCCUUAUGUCCAGGGCGACACACGUGCUACAAUGGCCGGCACAACGGGAAGCGAAGGGGCGACCCUGAGCGGAUCCCACAAAAGCCGGUCUCAGUUCGGAUUGCAGUCUGCAACUCGACUGCAUGAAGUUGGAAUCGCUAGUAAUCGUGGAUCAGCCAAGCCGCGGUGAAUACGUUCCCGGGCCUU
RNAcentral lists this ribosomal RNA (371 nucleotides) under uncultured Thermovirga sp. RNAcentral describes it as "bacterial SSU rRNA". It matches the Rfam family "Bacterial small subunit ribosomal RNA", at positions 1012 to 1382 of the family's 1533-position model. The record is from RNAcentral. Lineage: Bacteria; Thermotogati; Synergistota; Synergistia; Synergistales; Thermovirgaceae.